UGAGGAAUAUUGGUCAAUGGACGAAAGUCUGAACCAGCCAUGCCGCGUGCAGGAUGACGGCCCUACGGGUUGUAAACUGCUUUUAUACAGGAAGAAACCUUCACUCGUGAGUGGAGCUGACGGUACUGUAGGAAUAAGGACCGGCUAACUCCGUGCCAGCAGCCGCGGUAAUACGGAGGGUCCAAGCGUUAUCCGGAUUUAUUGGGUUUAAAGGGUACGUAGGCGGAGUUAUAAGUCAGUAGUGAAAGCCUCCCGCUUAACGGGAGAACUGCUAUUGAUACUGUUACUCUUGAAUGUAGUUGAAGUAGGCGGAAUACGGCAUGUAGCGGUGAAAUGCAUAGAUAUGCCGUGGAACACCAAUCGCGAAGGCAGCUUACUAAGCUAUUAUUGACGCUAAUGUACGAAAGCGUGGGGAGCGAACAGGAUUAGAUACCCCCGUAGUCC
RNAcentral lists this ribosomal RNA (444 nucleotides) under uncultured prokaryote. RNAcentral describes it as "bacterial SSU rRNA". It matches the Rfam family "Bacterial small subunit ribosomal RNA", at positions 355 to 796 of the family's 1533-position model. The record is from RNAcentral.